UCAAGUUAUUAAGGGUGCAGGGCGGAUGCCUUGGCACUAGGAGCCGAUGAAGGACGUGAUAAGCUGCGAUAAGCUUCGGGGAGUUGCACGUAAACUUUGAUCCGAAGAUUUCCGAAUGAGGAAACUCACUUAGAGUAAUGUCUAAGUAUCAUUAAGUGAAUACAUAGCUUAAUGAGGGGAACUCAGGGAACUGAAACAUCUAAGUACCUGAAGGAAGAGAAAGAAAUUCGAUUCCGUAAGUAGCGGCGAGCGAACGCGGAAGAGCCCAAACCAAUAAAGUUUUCUUUAUUGGGGUUGCGGACAUAUCAUAACGAAGAGGUAUCGUAAUUGAAGAGGUUUGGAAAGACCCACCACAGAAGGUAAUAGUCCUGUAUGUUAAACGAGAAAACUUUAGAUAUGAUCCAGAGUACCACGGGACACGUGAAACCCUGUGGGAAGCAGGAGGGACCACCCUCCAAGGCUAAAUACUACCUAGUGACCGAUAGCGUAUAGUACCGUGAGGGAAAGGUGAAAAGAACCCCGGGAGGGGAGUGAAAUAGAACCUGAAACCCUGCACUUACAAGCUGUGGAAGCACAUUUCUUGUGUGACCGCGUACUUUUUGUAGAACGGGCCAACGAGUUACGUUAAGUAGCAAGGUUAAGCACUUAAGGUGUGGAGCCGUAGCGAAAGCGAGUUUUAACUGAGCGUUCAGUUACUUGACGUAGACCCGAAACCGGGCGACCUACCCAUGAGCAGGAUGAAGCGAAAGUAAAAUUUCGUGGAGGUCCGAACCCACGAGCGUUGAAAAGCUCGGGGAUGACUUGUGGGUAGCGGUGAAAUUCCAAUCGAGCCCGGAGAUAGCUGGUUCUCCCCGAAAUAGCUUUAGGGCUAGCCUCAAGGUGAGAGAUACGGAGGUAGAGCACUGAAUGUCCUAGGGGGUAUUGCACCUACCGAAGACUAUCAAACUCCGAAUGCCGUCAUCUUAUACUUGGGAGUCAGACUGUGGGUGAUAAGAUUCAUAGUCGAAAGGGCAACAGCCCAGAUCGUCAGCUAAGGUCCCUAAAUGUAAGUUAAGUGGUAAAGGAUGUGGGAUUGCACAGACAACCAGGAUGUUGGCUUAGAAGCAGCCACUCAUUCAAAGAGUGCGUAAUAGCUCACUGGUCGAGUGAUCCUGCGCCGAAGAUUUCCGGGGCUAAAACUUACUACCGAAGCUACGGCAUCAUUAUGAUGGGUAGGGGAGCUUCCCAUACGGGUUGAAGCAUGACCGUAAGGACAUGUGGACAGUAUGGGAGUGAGAAUGUUGGCAUGAGUAGCGAGAUGUGGGUGAGAAUCCCACAGGCCGUAAACCCAAGGUUUCCAGGGGAAGGUUCGUCCGCCCUGGGUUAGUCGGGACCUAAGCUGAGGCCGAAAGGCGUAGGUGAUGGACAACAGGUUGAUAUUCCUGUACUACCGAUAACCGUUUGAGAGAUGGGAUGACACAGUAGGAUAAGCUAAGCACACUGUUGGUUAUGUGUGCCCAAGCAUUGAGGCAGUCAGAGUAGGUAAAUCCGCUUUGAUAAUGCUGGGAUGUGAUGGGGAGCGAAAUUUAGUAGCGAAGUAGCUGAUUUCACACUGUCAAGAAAAGUCUCUAUCGAGGUUAAAGGUACCCGUACCGCAAACCGACACAGGUGGGUGAGGAGAGUAUCCUAAGGCCCGCGAGAGAACUGUUGUUAAGGAACUCGGCAAAAUGACCCCGUAACUUAGGGAUAAGGGGUGCCACCAUCCGGUGGCCGCAGAGAAUAGGCCCAAGCGACUGUUUACCAAAAACAUAGGUUUCUGCUAAGUCGCAAGACGAUGUAUAGGAGCUGACGCCUGCCCGGUGCUGGAAGGUUAAGGGGAUCUGUUAGAGCAAUCGAAGCAGUGAACUUAAGCCCCAGUAAACGGCGGCCGUAACUAUAACGGUCCUAAGGUAGCGAAAUUCCUUGUCGGGUAAGUUCCGACCCGCACGAAAGGCGUAACGAUUUGGGCACUGUCUCAACAACAGACUCGGUGAAAUUGUAAUUCCGGUGAAGAUGCCGGAUACCUGCGACAGGACGGAAAGACCCCAUGGAGCUUUACUGUAGCUUGACAUUGGGUCUUGGUACUACAUGUACAGGAUAGGUGGGAGGCUUUGAAACCAGGACGCCAGUUUUGGCGGAGCCAUCCUUGGGAUACCACCCUUGUAGUACUGGGACUCUAACCAUAGGCCAUGAAUCUGGUCUUGGGACACUGUCAGGUGGGCAGUUUGACUGGGGCGGUCGCCUCCCAAAAGGUAACGGAGGCGCUCAAAGGUUCUCUCAGUACGGUCGGAAAUCGUACGUAGAGUGUAAAGGCAAAAGAGAGCUUGAUUGCAAGACAUACAGGUCGAGCAAGGAUGAAAAUCGGACUUAGUGAUCCGGUGGUUCUGCGUGGAAGGGCCAUCGCUCAACGGAUAAAAGCUACCCUGGGGAUAACAGGCUUAUCUCCCCCAAGAGUCCACAUCGACGGGGAGGUUUGGCACCUCGAUGUCGGCUCAUCACAUCCUGGGGCUGUAGUAGGUCCCAAGGGUUGGGCUGUUCGCCCAUUAAAGUGGUACGCGAGCUGGGUUCAGAACGUCGUGAGACAGUUCGGUCCCUAUCCGUCGCAGGCGUAGGAAAUUUGAGAAGACCUGUCCUUAGUACGAGAGGACCGGGAUGGACGUACCUCUGGUGUACCAGUUGUUCUGCCAAGGGCAUGGCUGGGUAGCUAUGUACGGAAUGGAUAAGCGCUGAAAGCAUCUAAGCGCGAAGCCAACUUCAAGAUAAGAUUUCCCACCGCAAGGGUAAGACCCCAGAAAGACUAUCUGGUUGAUAGGUCGAAGGUGUAAGUGCAGCAAUGUAUUUAGCUUAUCGAUACUAAUAGGUCGAGGACUUGACCAA
This 2895-nucleotide ribosomal RNA is filed under the name Clostridioides difficile. Its description in RNAcentral is "bacterial LSU rRNA". It matches the Rfam family "Bacterial large subunit ribosomal RNA". Lineage: Bacteria; Bacillati; Bacillota; Clostridia; Peptostreptococcales; Peptostreptococcaceae. The record is from RNAcentral.